Clupea harengus (Atlantic herring) is the source of this 831-nucleotide long non-coding RNA. NCBI's taxonomy places the organism in Eukaryota, Metazoa, Chordata, Actinopteri, Clupeiformes, Clupeidae. The record is from Ensembl.
GUAAAUGUUGAAGAGUUUAUAAGGGUUCACUGACACCAGGAUACUGCCAAUAUACGUCUGGCAGAGAGAGAGAGAGGGUUAAGGCGUGUGUGUGUGUGUGUGUGUGUGUGUGUGUGUGUGUGUGUGUGUGUGUGUGUGUGUAAAUGUUGAAGAGUUUAUAAGGGUUCACUGACACCAGGAUACUGCCAAUAUACGUCUGGCAGAGAGAGAGGGAGGGUUAAGGCGUGUGUGUGUGUGUGUGUGUGUGUGUGUGUGUGUGUGUGUGUGUGUGUGUGUGUGUGUGUGUGUGUGUGUGUGUGUGUGUGUGUAAAUGUUGAAGAGCUUAUAAGGGUUCACUGACACCAGGAUACUGCCAAUAUACGUCUGGCAGAGAGAGAGGGAGGGUUAAGGCGUGUGUGUGUGUGUGUGUGUGUGUGUGUGUGUGUGUGUGUGUGUGUGUGUGUGUGUGUGUGUGUGUGUGUAAAUGUUGAAGAGCUUAUAAGGGUUCACUGACACCAGGAUACUGCCAAUAUACGUCUGGCCGAGAGAGAGAGAGGGUUAGGGUGUGUGUGUGUGUCUGUGUGAGUGAGUGAGUGAGUGAGUGAGUGAGUGAGUGAGUGAGUGAGUGAGUGUGUGAGUGUUGUGAGUGAGUGAGUGAGUGAGUGAGUGAGUGUGUGAGUGUGUGAGUGAGUGUGUGAGUGAGUGAGUGAGUGAGUGAGUGUGUGUGUGUGUGUGUAUGUGUGUGUGUGUGUGUGUGUGUGUGUGUGUGUGUGUGUGUGUGCAUGUUUGUGAGUGUGAGUGUGUGUGUGUGUGUGUGUGUGUGUGUGUGUGUGUGUGUGUGUGUGUGUGUUA